GUGCUCGCUUGGGCAGCACAUAUACUAAAAUUGGAACGAUAUCGAGAAAAUUAGCAUGGCCCUUGUGCAAGGAUGACAUGCAAAUUCGUGAAGUGUGCCAUAUUUUU
Mustela lutreola (European mink) is the source of this 107-nucleotide small nuclear RNA. The record is from RefSeq and is a predicted model, not a curated record. NCBI's taxonomy places the organism in Eukaryota, Metazoa, Chordata, Mammalia, Carnivora, Mustelidae.